Molecule: long non-coding RNA, 295 nt
Organism: Polyodon spathula (Mississippi paddlefish)
Lineage: Eukaryota; Metazoa; Chordata; Actinopteri; Acipenseriformes; Polyodontidae
Exons: 3
Source: RefSeq, a predicted model, not a curated record
CCUUGCUCGGUUUUGUCUCGGGAUUGCCCGGACAUUUUCGCCUCUUUGUUUUACUGAAAGUGGAUUUAACUCGGAUUGAGCCUCAGAUCCAGCGGACUGUUAUGCUCUCACACAGCGACGUGAUGCAGAAUCAAUAAUGCAGAGCUAACGUUGCAAUACCUCGUGUCAAAACAAAGGUGGCAACCAGAUAGAGGACAGCAAAGAGAUGGCGGCAUUAGGGAAUCCCGAGAUGCUGACCAGGAAAAUCAAGUUGUGGGACAUCAAUGCCCACAUUACCUGUCGUCUGUGUGAGGGU